AUGUCUAAGUCGUUUACCCAGAAAAUAAAGCAAAUAUUUGAAUACAAUAUUCAGUUAUAUAUAAGUUUAAUUAUUUUUAAAAAUAUAGAUAAAAUCCCUGGAAUCUCUCAUCCUCUGGGUGAACAUAUUGUGAUUCCAGUUAUAUAUGAAUUACUGAUAAUACUUAAAAGUGCCUGUAAUCUUGUGGAAUUGAAACCAAUAUAAGUCAUAAUUUCCAAUGAAUUACUGUUGGGUUAGUGGGAUGUGACAGGAAGUAGUUUGUUAACAACUUGUGAUUCUUAUUUCUUCAUAGUUUUAUCAAGUUCCAAGAUAGCUUGAGUAAUCACAAUAGAAGGUGUUUGUGUAAGGCCUUGGAUUUAAUAUUCUCCAGCCAUUAACCACAUUUUUAUACCCUGCUUAUUGCCAGGAGGUUUAAUUCAGAAUUAAUACAAAUCUUUAGUUCCUAUAGGAAAAGUAAAUUGAAAUAUACUUUCAAUGGUUGGGAUAGGUGAGGUAUAUCUGCUUGGGUAUAAAGAACCACACAUUCAAAAAGGUUAUGACAACUAAUGCCCCAUUAGAAAGAAAAUAUAUAUUAUAUUUCAUAGUGUCAGCUGUUUAUAUCCUUUCCCCAUGUGCUCUUCAAAUCAAAUUGUAUCAGACAUCCACAGAUGAGUUAAACGUUUAUGUGGUUUAUUCCAAAAGGCUGAACUAGAUAGAUUUUGUUUUUAAAUGAAAAUGUUCUGGAACAUUCUGAAUGACAUUUGGGGCACUGGUGUGAUCAUGAGCAUGGUUUUCUAAUUAAUUUUUCUGCCAGUAGACAUAAACCAACCGAGAGUAAUUUAGCCUUGGUCAACACAAAUCAAAGAGAGAAAAUUGGAAAUUAUCCAAGCUAUCUGAAUUACUUUGCAGAACUAGAAUUUAACCUUCAAAGAUUUCUCUAUUGUUUUGUCUACAGAGAACGUGAACUUGAUGAUUCAACACUAACAAUUGAACUUGCUAGUGGUUAAAAAACAGCUGAUAAACUCUUCAGUUAUGUGAUCAAGUAAAUCAAUAUUUUAAAUAUUUAAAAC
RNAcentral lists this long non-coding RNA (1049 nucleotides) under Callithrix jacchus (white-tufted-ear marmoset). RNAcentral describes it as "lncRNA (ENSCJAG00000081077.1)". Lineage: Eukaryota; Metazoa; Chordata; Mammalia; Primates; Cebidae. The record is from RNAcentral.